UUGAACCAUUUUUAAUUUAAGCUAAGGUGAGAUGAUGAGUGUACCGGAUUGGUUGCUUAAGUGAUUGAUUUGCACAAACUGAAUGUCACACUUCUACAAUACUUAAGGGUUGAAAAAUACAUAUUUUCCUUUUAUUUUGCAGGCAAAAUGUACUGCUCGCACAAACUAAAGUGGAUUUGUUAGUUACCAAAGCUUCAACACCGAUCGGGGUCGAUGAUUUCCUACCACUAUGUCUAUGAAACAAAACCUCCAAGAUUCAGUGAUGUGCUAUAUACUCCCUCCGUUCUAUAUUGUAAGUUGUUUUAAUUUUUCUAGAUACAUAUUUUUGUUAGAUAUAGCAUGUAUCUAGGCACAUAACAAAAUCUAUGCACUGAUAGAAAACUUGCCUUUAGUCCCAGUUGGUAGAGAGAAAAUCUCUCGAAAAUCCAUCCAGGAUAAACCAAUCGAGACAAAAG
This 455-nucleotide long non-coding RNA is filed under the name Setaria viridis. Its description in RNAcentral is "long non-coding RNA (SVIR_LNC004118)". Lineage: Eukaryota; Viridiplantae; Streptophyta; Magnoliopsida; Poales; Poaceae. The record is from RNAcentral.